This is a long non-coding RNA of Melanotaenia boesemani (Boeseman's rainbowfish), 1346 nucleotides long. RefSeq lists it as uncharacterized. The transcript has 3 exons. The record is from RefSeq and is a predicted model, not a curated record. Lineage: Eukaryota; Metazoa; Chordata; Actinopteri; Atheriniformes; Melanotaeniidae.
AGCGGCAAAUACAAGCGUAAAUGGCUGUAGCGAAGGAACCGGUAACGUUUUUCACAGUGACAUCGUACUUUGCCGACUUCCCAAAGUCAGUGAAAAGGGUCUGAACUCCUACAACUAAAAUCGAGUUGUAAAUGUUAGUGUGCUGGCAGGUGGAAGUCUGAAAGGGAAAGUACAGGUUUCAAUGAAAAAAGAAUUUGCGAGGUUGAAGAUGGCGUAUCGUAAGAAGAGACUCACAGCAAGCAACUUUGGUUUUGUGUUGGCAGCAAUGAAGAGGAACUCUUACCCUCCUUCAUUUUUCAAAAUGCUGCUUGGUCAAUACAAUUUCAAACAAGGAGCUCAUGCUUGUGAUUGGGGAAUCGUUCAUGAGCAAAAGGCGCACUGGUGAACGGAGUAUUCCUAUCUGACAGCGGCCUGCUUGGUGGCUCCCCAGAUGGGAUGGUGUCAGAUGAUGACAUCAUUGAGGUAAAAUGUCCCUAUGCAGCCAGAAAGAAGACAAUAAUUCAGGUAGCAGAGGCAAAGGACUUUUUUCUCAAACUGGAUGAUGUCACUGGCUUACUGGAACUGAAACAGACCCACAACUACUGGCAUCAGAUUCAGGGCUACUUGUGCCUGACAGGAGCUGGCACAUGUCAUCUGGUGGUAUAGACUCCCCUAGCUCUUGUAAUCCUGCGCAUCCAUAAAGAUCAAGCUUGGGCAAACAACAUUACUGUUCUAGAAAGCUUUUAUAAGGAUCGUCUCCUGCCCCACAUUUUAUCAGAUGUUAAAUGAAAAUUGUAUUGACCCUGCAUUCUUUACCCGUUCUACAGAAGGAUUUUCAUUGUGAAUGUUGAAGCCUCCCCAACUUUUACUUGUUUAUAAGAUGUAUCAACAUCUGUGCAUUUGUACCAUUUAAACUGCUAUUUUAUGUGUUAUGUUUUAUUUUUUAAAAAAAAAUAAGCAGUAACAAGAAGCAACAAAUGUAGUCCAGAUAAAUUGAGUGGGAGCAACAUAGCCAGUGUGAAGACGUGUUUUUGUUUGCUAGUUCGGCAUCCCUUGCACCCAAGUUGUCAAAUGAAUAUCCUUUUACUUCUCCCAAUUAUUCAUUUAGUUGAUGGUGGAUUAAAAUUUUUUUGAUAAUAUAAUGUUGUAACAGACAAACACAGACUUUAAAGAGAAUCUCACAUUUAUUCGGAAACAUUUCAGUUUGGGAAAAUUGAUUAGCAAGGAAAAAAACAGGUAUGUUAAUGCAUUUAAUAUAGACAAAAUAACAGCUGUAGGCAAUGAGUUGUGUUAAGUGACUGAAGCUGGUGAGUGAAGUGACUGACCAGAAUGUUUUUUUGUAUAGCCAAAUGAUGCCAUUGUGGCAG